GUGCUCAUUUUGGCAGCACAUAUACUAAAAUGGGAAUGAUACAGAGAACAUUAGCACGGCUCCUACACAAGAAUGACAUAAAAAUUGGGAAAUAUUACACAUUAAA
Molecule: small nuclear RNA, 106 nt
Organism: Manis pentadactyla (Chinese pangolin)
Lineage: Eukaryota; Metazoa; Chordata; Mammalia; Pholidota; Manidae
Source: RefSeq, a predicted model, not a curated record